This 98-nucleotide small RNA is filed under the name Flavobacterium sp. 123. Its description in RNAcentral is "Flavo-1 RNA". It matches the Rfam family "Flavo-1 RNA". Lineage: Bacteria; Pseudomonadati; Bacteroidota; Flavobacteriia; Flavobacteriales; Flavobacteriaceae. The record is from Rfam by way of RNAcentral.
CCCUAGCCCUGAUAGCAGCGGCAUCCUUUUAUUUUUGAUACUGAGCUUGUCAAAGCGAUGUAUAAAAAUAAAAGAUAUAGCGAAUAGCAGGAUUAGCU